GCAUGAACUAAGCCCACCAAUAGGAUGUCAUACAUAUAAUGGGUCAUCUGCUUAUCCAAAACAAGAUCUUCUCCCCAUGGGGCUAAGUCAUGAUUCUCAUGACCUGCGUUUGAAAAUGCAUACAAGUCUGAGGAUUUCACCACUCUAGGCUAA
Molecule: ribozyme, 153 nt
Filed under: Octodon degus (degu)
Lineage: Eukaryota; Metazoa; Chordata; Mammalia; Rodentia; Octodontidae
Description: Hovlinc ribozyme (hominin vlincRNA-located)
Rfam family: Hovlinc ribozyme (hominin vlincRNA-located)
About the family: Hovlinc is a recently evolved class of self-cleaving ribozyme found in a very long non coding RNA (vlincRNA) in hominins, including humans (genus Homo), and chimpanzees and bonobos (genus Pan), but missing in gorillas (genus Gorilla).
Source: Rfam by way of RNAcentral